CCUUCAGCAGGCCUUUCAACGUUUUUCAAAAAAGAUCGAGGUAUUCCGGUAGUUCGUUUUACCCUUGGUUUUCCAUCGUAAUUAGGAUCAGCGUUGGUAGGGCAUGCUUGAAUCCAGUGUCCUUUCUGACCGCAUCUAUAACAAAUAUAUCCAGGGGGAGGUGGUUUGUCCGGAACAGAAGCAGCAAUACGGCGUUGAUUGGGUUUAUAAAUAGGGGUAGCAGAAGCCAUUUUAUCCUGAGUUUCACGCCAUUGAUCGCUUGACACUUGAAACAUUUGCUGAAUUGCUGCGUCUUCGGAGGAUGAAGGACUUUUAUUAAUAUUUGAUUCACCGGAUGUAAUGGGUGCCUUUUUCUGAAGCAUUGGGACAGGUCGUUUGACAGAAUCAGAUCGAGCACCGGUUGUCUUAGGAGCGCCACUGACAUAGCGAGCAGCAGUUCCUUUUCCGGAUUUUUGUGCAGGUACUCGACGGACAAUGACAGAAGUAGAACGAGGAAUUAUAAAAGUGUCAUCAUCAUACUCUUCAUUAGAA
Non-coding RNA from Schizosaccharomyces pombe (fission yeast), 531 nucleotides. The record is from the annotation of a GenBank genome assembly. Lineage: Eukaryota; Fungi; Ascomycota; Schizosaccharomycetes; Schizosaccharomycetales; Schizosaccharomycetaceae.